GGAAUAAUCCAGGGAAACUUGGACUAAUACCGGAUACGCCCUUCGGCGGAAAGAUUUAUCGCCGAAAGAUCGGCCCGCGUCUGAUUAGCUAGUUGGUGAGGUAAAGGCUCACCAAGGCGACGAUCAGUAGCUGGUCUGAGAGGAUGAUCAGCCACACUGGGACUGAGACACGGCCCAGUCUCCUACGGGAGGCAGCAGUGGGGAAUAUUGGACAAUGGGCGAAAGCCUGAUCCAGCCAUGCCGCGUGAGUGAUGAAGGCCUUAGGGUUGUAAAGCUCUUUUGUCCGGGAAGAUAAUGACUGUACCGGAAGAAUAAGCCCCGGCUAACUUCGUGCCAGCAGCCGCGGUAAUACGAAGGGGGCUAGCGUUGCUCGGAAUCCCUGGGCGUAAAGGGCGCGUAGGCGGACUUUUAAGUCGGAGGUGAAAGCCCAGGGCUCAACCCUGGAAUUGCCUUCGAUACUGGGAGUCUUGAGUUCGGAAGAGGUUGGUGGAACUGCGAGUGUAGAGGUGAAAUUCGUAGAUAUUCGCAAGAACACCGGUGGCGAAGGCGGCCAACUGGUCCGAAACUGACGCUGAGGCGCGAAAGCGUGGGGAGCAAACAGGAUUAGAUACCCUGGUAGUCCCCCCCGUAAACGAUGAAUGCCAGCCGUUGGGGAGCUUGCUCUUCAGUGGCGCAGCGAACGCUUAAGCAUCCGCGUGGAGACGGAUUAAAAAAAG
This 716-nucleotide ribosomal RNA is filed under the name Allobosea sp. s136. RNAcentral describes it as "bacterial SSU rRNA". It matches the Rfam family "Bacterial small subunit ribosomal RNA", at positions 140 to 873 of the family's 1533-position model. The record is from RNAcentral. Lineage: Bacteria; Pseudomonadati; Pseudomonadota; Alphaproteobacteria; Hyphomicrobiales; Alloboseaceae.